GGGGGUGGGAUGGCUCAGUGGCAGAGCAUCUGCUUUGCAUGCAGAAGGUCCCAGGUUCAAUCCCUGGCACCUCCA
Molecule: non-coding RNA, 75 nt
Organism: Euleptes europaea (tarantolino)
Lineage: Eukaryota; Metazoa; Chordata; Lepidosauria; Squamata; Sphaerodactylidae
Source: the annotation of a RefSeq genome assembly